UACGGAGGGGGCUAGCGUUGUUCGGAAUUACUGGGCGUAAAGCGCAUGUAGGCGGAUAUCUAAGUCGGAGGUGAAAGCCUGAGGCUCAACCUCAGAACUGCCUUCGAUACUGGAUGUCUUGAGUGCGAGAGAGGUGAGUGGAAUUCCCAGUGUAGAGGUGAAAUUCGUAGAUAUUGGGAAGAACACCAGUGGCGAAGGCGGCUCACUGGCUCGCAACUGACGCUGAGGUGCGAAAGCGUGGGGAGCAAACAGG
This 253-nucleotide ribosomal RNA is filed under the name uncultured bacterium. RNAcentral describes it as "partial 16S ribosomal RNA". It matches the Rfam family "Bacterial small subunit ribosomal RNA", at positions 524 to 776 of the family's 1533-position model. The record is from RNAcentral.